This 466-nucleotide ribosomal RNA is filed under the name uncultured bacterium. RNAcentral describes it as "partial 16S ribosomal RNA". It matches the Rfam family "Bacterial small subunit ribosomal RNA", at positions 28 to 507 of the family's 1533-position model. The record is from RNAcentral.
GACGAACGCUGGCGGCGUGCUUAACACAUGCAAGUCGAACGGAAAGGCCCAGCUUGCUUGGUACUCGAGUGGCGAACGGGUGAGUAACACGUGGGUGAUCUGCCCCUGACUUUGGGAUAAGCCUGGGAAACUGGGUCUAAUACCGGAUAUGACCUUACAUCGCAUGGUGUUUGUUGGAAAGAUUUUGGGGUUGGGGAUGGGCCCGCGGCCUAUCAGCUUGUUGGUGGGGUAAUGGCCUACCAAGGCGACGACGGGUAGCCGACCUGAGAGGGUGAUCGGCCACACUGGGACUGAGACACGGCCCAGACUCCUACGGGAGGCAGCAGUGGGGAAUAUUGCAGAAUGGGCGCAAGCCUGAUGCAGCGACGCCGCGUGAGGGAUGACGGCCUUCGGGUUGUAAACCUCUUUCACCAGGGACGAAGCGUGAGUGACGGUACCUGGAGAAGAAGCACCGGCCAAAUACGUG